AUGGGAUGGGCAACACAAUAUACCUACCUCAUUGACAUCGCGUUUCAUGGUGAUAAACUGUAUGCCAUCACCACAGCUGAGGACCUCAUCCCCAUUGAUCUUGCAUUGGAUGGAGAAGGAAGGCCUAUGGUUGCAAUGGGACCACGUGUCAUCAAGAAAUCAAUCAACUAUGAUUAUUAUGAAUCAUUGACUACUUCUGAUGAGGAAGACGAUGAUGAGAAUGAAGAGGAUGGAGAGGAAGAAGACAACGACGAUGAAAAGAAGGAAGAGGAAGAAGAUAAUGAUUUGACCUAUAUCAAUUGCUCAGCUGAGUUUGCGCCAGAGGUCAAACUUGAUAAUAUCACCAUAAUUAGCCGGCACCUCAUCGAGUCACAUGGGAAGCUACUCAUGGUAAGGCAUAGCCGUCAGCUCCAUCCUCAAGCUUUGUGGGUCACUCUCAAGGUGGAUGUUCUUGAAGCAGACUUUAGCACACACGAGUGGGUGCCACUUACCGGAGGGCUAGGCGGCGAUCGAGCACUCUUCGUUAGCUCCACUCCAAGUCUGUCACGGCACCUUGUGGACAGGUGGAGCAAGAUGCAAUUUAUUUUGGGACAAUUGCAUUUUUACCCCUAG
RNAcentral lists this ribosomal RNA (612 nucleotides) under Triticum aestivum (bread wheat). RNAcentral's name for it is "partial small subunit ribosomal RNA". Lineage: Eukaryota; Viridiplantae; Streptophyta; Magnoliopsida; Poales; Poaceae. The record is from RNAcentral.